CCCUUCUCCCAAAAUCAGAUCUUCAUAUCCCUUUCUCAUUUCACAAAAGCCAUCGUUCUCCACUUCUCCUUUUCUCAUUUUAGAUCCCUCUUUUGCUUUCCUCUCAAAUCAGCAACCCUACAGACUACACUCUUAGGUUUUCCUCUCAACUUUACACUAAAUUGUAUUUCGCGAUGGAAGCUACAACUUCUGGAACUAAAUCGCUAGUGAUUGACAACAACCCUCCGAUUGCGCCAACAGAAUCUCAACAACAACAAGUUUGGAAGAAGUCCAGAACAUUGAGCAAGUUUAUGAAGAGUAUGGAGACUCACCUUUGAGCAUUGAUUAGCCAGUUUCGUUCACGAUGCACUAUCUGUGUGAGAAUUGGCUGCAAACUUUGUUUAUUUUUGCCCAGUUGCUGUAGUAUAGUGCACUGAUUUGGAUUUUUGCCCAAUCCUCAA
Long non-coding RNA from Lycium barbarum (goji berry), 440 nucleotides. RefSeq lists it as uncharacterized. The record is from RefSeq and is a predicted model, not a curated record. NCBI's taxonomy places the organism in Eukaryota, Viridiplantae, Streptophyta, Magnoliopsida, Solanales, Solanaceae. The transcript is spliced from 6 exons.